AUCGCGUUUAAUUCAUGAAUAAUUACUUUUACCUAAAAAAAAUGCAACUUUUUUUGAAUUUUUGGAAAAAAUAUGAAAACGACUAUUUUAUUUGACUUUUCAAAAAUUCGCGAAUAAUUUACGAAUAAUUCGCGAGCUUUCGGAAUUAAACCAAUAUUAGUACGAAAUACCUGAAAAAUAGAGUCGGGGGCCUUAGACGCAGCAGUAAUUUGUGCAGAACGAAGGCGGAGACCUGAAAUGGCAUACAGAGCUAAGAAAGUGCACAGAGAAUAGGUGAGGAAAUGGACGCGAGAGAGAGAGAGAGAGAAACCUGGGGAGAG
Molecule: long non-coding RNA, 320 nt
Filed under: Ananas comosus (pineapple)
Lineage: Eukaryota; Viridiplantae; Streptophyta; Magnoliopsida; Poales; Bromeliaceae
Description: long non-coding RNA (ACOM_LNC024056)
Source: RNAcentral